UGCCUGCUGUAUUUUACACGGCAGUUUCCAGCUUUCCCUUUUCCUCCUCUUAGUUUAUUCUUCUUCCUUGUCUUUUUCAACGUACAAGCCGUUGUUUUCUUUUCCUUGAACGUUAUACUUCCAUUUCUGCUCCCUCUUGAACGACCAAACUCCAUACUUAGUUUCCUCUACCGAAAAAUUUAUAAGUUUGUGUGUUGCCGUUGCCAUCAUACCACUUCACAAUCUUCUGCGGCUUCGACUCAACACCAUCACCAAGAGGAUCAAGGCUGAUCUCUGUGUUGCUGUUCAAGCACCAAAAAGAGCCGCCGUUAGCUGUGUUUAGGUCCCUAAAUGGAGGAAGGCUGGAUCGUGUACAGUCGGUCGCAGUAAAGGAUGAAUAGGAUUCUCACUAUCUCCUUCCAAGUGAUGACGGGUUUUCCGUCAAGACUGGAUGUAGGGUGAUAGCUCACCCCCGAGAUAUUGAGAAGUAUGGUAUUGUAAUAGUAAACCCCAGUUUUAUAAAUAGAAGCUUAGUUAGUGGUUAAUCGAAUAGCUUCACUUUUGUAUCAAACCUUGGGGUGUUAAACUGGUCUAUUUACAUAGAUACGAUAAUGUUGUAGUUGUGGUUUGUGAAAAAUAAUAUCCUACGUUUCUAUCC
This is a long non-coding RNA of Eucalyptus grandis, 637 nucleotides long. RefSeq lists it as uncharacterized. The transcript is spliced from 2 exons. Lineage: Eukaryota; Viridiplantae; Streptophyta; Magnoliopsida; Myrtales; Myrtaceae. The record is from RefSeq and is a predicted model, not a curated record.